GAGCAUCCGUGGCUAGCAGUGGAAGAUGGGGUUGGGCCCCAGGAGUGUGAAAUUGGGAAGUAAUUCAAAAUGUAUGUGCCUAGCAUUCCUUUUAUGUAACAUGAGGGGAAUAGAAGUACCAAACCGAUGCAGUUCAGUGGAGAAUUAAAUGAGAUAGUCACAAGUAAAAGGUGAGACGCGAUCUUACUGCAUUGACCAGGAUGGUCUCAAACUCCUGGCUACAGGCUAUCCUCCUGCCUCUGUCUCCCAAAGCGCUGGGAUUACAAGCGUGAGCCACCAGGCCUGGCCCAAUUGCUUCUUAACAACUUACUAUUCUUUGUUCACUACAGUGUAUACAUAACUGACUUUUUAUUUGGAUCUUCAUUUUGUAAUGAAGGCUCUGGUCACAUGUAAGACUUGUAUUAAAUAAAUUU
Molecule: long non-coding RNA, 413 nt
Filed under: Homo sapiens (human)
Lineage: Eukaryota; Metazoa; Chordata; Mammalia; Primates; Hominidae
Description: non-protein coding lnc-GPR39-2:8
Source: RNAcentral